This 559-nucleotide unclassified non-coding RNA is filed under the name Hevea brasiliensis (rubber tree). Lineage: Eukaryota; Viridiplantae; Streptophyta; Magnoliopsida; Malpighiales; Euphorbiaceae. The record is from RNAcentral.
UACAAAUAUUCAACCCCCAUCAGCAGCCUAGGCUAGGAGUAUGCAUGGUAUACAGAUUACUCGAAGCCAUAUAAGGCCAUCUUAUUCAAGAUCAAAGUGUGACAUUAGGGGGAAAACUUCAUGCCUCACGCAAUGAGAACAUGAAAUAAAAAAUCUCUACUUGUCUGCAGUCUCUUUCUCGUAUACUUCACUGGCAUACUUCCAGUUAAUAACCUUCCAUACGUUAUUCAGAUAGUCUGGCCUCACAUUUUUGUACUGCAGGUAGUAUGCAUGCUCCCAAACAUCUAUCCCUAGCAAAGGAACUAGAGUUGCUCCUUUGGUCACCAAUGGAUCCUGAUUUGCAGUAGUUUCAACCCUCAUUUUCUUGCUCUCCUUAUCCAAAGCAAGCCACACCCAUCCAGACCCCUGUAAAGCAGCACCUUCUGCAUUGAUCUUUUUCACCAAAGCUUCAAAUGAACCAAAAUCAGUAUCAAUAGCCCAGCCAAGUGCCCCAUGUGGGAGCUCACCACCUCCUUCACUGAUGGGUUUUAGAUUUUUCCAGAAGAUUGUGUGAUUAAUA